CGGGGCGUAGCGCAGCCUGGUUAGCGCGUGUGGUUUGGGACCACAAGGUCGCGGGUUCGAAUCCCGCCGCCCCGACCA
Molecule: transfer RNA, 78 nt
Filed under: Phycisphaerae bacterium
Lineage: Bacteria; Pseudomonadati; Planctomycetota; Phycisphaerae
Also listed under: 2 other names
Description: tRNA-Pro
Rfam family: tRNA
About the family: Transfer RNA (tRNA) molecules are approximately 80 nucleotides in length. Their secondary structure includes four short double-helical elements and three loops (D, anti-codon, and T loops).
Source: RNAcentral